UUAAAAAUAUGUUUAUUUCAUCUUUGAAUGAGUUGAGAAAGUAGAAAAACAUGGUGGAAUGUAACGAGAUUGAGUUCAAUGUAAUACAAUUUAAAUUUUUUAACUCAAUCUCACAAAAUACAUCCAUUAAUCUGAAUUUACAGCAACACACAAUACAGCUCCUGAAUUGGUCCACUACUUGUUCCACUCCAUACUCAACUUAGCUUAGAGAUUGGCUUAAACUAAACAUAACAUUAAUCAAAUUACACAUGAAAUCAGUCCACAUAAUAAAGGAUUUCAAAUAUAUAAAUUACAUAACCAUGAAGCACAUAAAUAGGCCAAUCUUGAAUUACAAAGACAUAACCAAAUCGUGCACUUACUCUCGGAUGUCAUGGGAAGCUGAAUGGUGGGUCAAUUUUAUGCCGAUUAAGGUCUUAGAUAUAACCAUAUGAUAACCCAAUAUGAUAGCAAGAGAACUUGGUUCAAUUUUAAUCUAAAUGAUAGAAAGCAUGUAGCAUGUAGGUAAAACUCAAACACGAUCGAGAAAAAUACUUCAAAAAGUUAUGAUGGUUCGCAUGCCAGCAACAAGUGAGAGAGAGGAGCAUAACUCACAAACAAGGUAUAUGGAUUACGAAAACUCAACAUCGUGUGGGAGGAAAUUUUGGCAUAGUAACACCUUUUAAAAUGAAGAUUUUAAGAUCAAGAGAAGACUAAAACCUUGGCUAUUAUAUCAGUGAAUGAUGUAGGAAAUUCAACUGUGUUAUUCUAAAUCAAAAUGAGCUCUAAAUGAACUAUGCUUGUACUAGUAUAUGUGGGAACCAAGAGGCAUGAAAGGUGCAAGUAUUAGUUCAUGAAAGAGGGGACCAAAAUGAAGAUUAUCUUGCUGUAAAUGAGCAAUGAACAGCAACGAAGAAGGACUUAGAUCACUACCAAUGGUUCCUUUGGUCCUCAUGAGUAGGCAUCCAUACCAUGCGCCGUAGGGCAGACUUACCGAGGUACAGAAAGGGGGCCGUGUUUCUACAUGUUUCUCUCUAUCUUUCUCUCUCUCUCUCAAAAAAUCUCCCUCAAACUCUUAGAGAAGCCACACAUUGAGGUCUAGAAGUUAAGUGUCGAGGGCUUUAGUGUUAGAGAGCUUAUAUAAAGAGGGAGGUAGGAUUUUGAGUUGGCCUAGGUGUUAGAUCAAAUUACGACCACAUAUCAUG
This 1181-nucleotide long non-coding RNA is filed under the name Amborella trichopoda. RNAcentral's name for it is "long non-coding RNA (ATRI_LNC002363)". Lineage: Eukaryota; Viridiplantae; Streptophyta; Magnoliopsida; Amborellales; Amborellaceae. The record is from RNAcentral.